Molecule: ribosomal RNA, 478 nt
Filed under: uncultured bacterium
Lineage: Bacteria
Description: bacterial SSU rRNA
Rfam family: Bacterial small subunit ribosomal RNA
Source: RNAcentral
GAUGAACGCUAGCGGCAGGCUUAAUACAUGCAAGUCAAGGGGGUAGCAAUACAACCGGCGCACGGGUGAGUAACACGUACACAACAUACCAUAUACUGGAGUAUAGCUUUGGGAAACUGAAGGUAAUCCUCCAUAACAUUGCGAGAGGGCAUCUGAUUGCAAUUAAAGUUCCGGCGGUAUAUGAUUGGUGUGCGUUUGAUUAGCUAGUUGGUAGGGUAACGGCCUACCAAGGCGACGAUCAAUAGCUGGCGUGAGAGCGCGACCAGCCACACUGGAACUGAGACACGGUCCAGACUCCUACGGGAGGCAGCAGUAGGGAAUAUUGGACAAUGGGCGAAAGCCUGAUCCAGCCAUGCCGCGUGAUAGAUGAAGGCCCUCUGGGUUGUAAAUAUCUUUUAUCUGGGAAGAAACUCCUCUAUUCUUAGAGGCCUGACGGUACCAGAGGAAUAAGCACCGGCUAACUCCGUGCCAGCAGCCG